UGUCUUAGGUGGAUACCAGCCAUCUUUUCACACUCUUUUUGAUUUAAACUGGGUGGAGAGUCACAAAUAUUUGCAUUUCAAAAAACAUAUUACUGGUUUGUGUAGUAAGGGAUGUAGUCUUUUAAUAAAGAAUAUUGUAUGUGAACCUUGAAGAAUUAAAGUAACAGAAUCAUUCCAUUCUGCAGUUUCAACAGAAGGCUUGGCAACAUCAAGAAAGAUUCCUUUUAGCAGAGGAAGAAGAGAGGCAGGUGAUGAUCUCUUCUUUCUGGUGAGAGCGACAGGGCCUGAGAGAAUGGCAUGGAGCUUUCAGGGGAGGGUCAGGCUGAGGACUAGGAAAAAGUUCUGCACCAGUGGGCGAUGGGCAUGGAACUGGUGCCCAGGGCAGUGGGCACAGCCCCGAGCUGCUGGAGUUCAAGGAGAGUUUGGACAACACUUUCAGACAUAGGUUUUGAACUUUGGGUGGUCCUGUGUGGGGCCAGGAGUUGGACUCAGUCAUCCUUGUAGAUCUCUUCCAACUUAGGAUAUUCUAUGAUUCUACAUAAAAAAUCCAGAAAUUGGCAUACAGUCCAGCUUACCUAGAAAUCUCCAUCACUACUGAGCAAUUUUUUCUGUAUUGUACUGAACUUGCAUAGGAAUUUAUUUAUAUAGAGCUGUAAUUACAGAACUGGAAGUCAGCCAGGGCAUGAGAGUUAACACCACCUUACUUUUAAGAAAAAGAGGCUGUGUUUAUGUAGUGUAUCAUUGUAGAGAAAGAUUUAGUCACCUACGUUAAUCCUUCAGUACUGCCACUGAAUGUUAGAAGUAUAAAUGGAAAAAAAAUGAGCUUCCAGAGUUGCACUGGAAUGGGCAGUAAGUUCAGUGUGCAUUGACUUGAUCCUUCCUGAAGUUUCUGUUGGCAGGGUUACAAUAAUCAAGUCUGAAACACAGAGUUGCACUGAAAAGGAUGACAUCAUUUCACAAAGCAGGUAAUGAUGCAUAUAACUUUAGGAACAGUAACAUGCUGCCAACAUUUUACUGAGAAGCUUCCACUGAGUCUUCUUGCCCUUUGCCACACAAAAUACUCACCUUUCCAGGGCCUUGCUGAGUGUGCGGAUUCUCUUUCAAAAUUACAUGCUAUUGUCAAGAUUAUCUCCUGGAGGAAGCAUAGCUGGCCUUCUUUUCAAGUACAGAAUUUUCUUGGAUCUUUUCUCUGUUUCAGUGGUUGAUGUGUGGCUACCUGAUACAGUGCCAAGGAAUCAUGCGAGGGCAUGGGCCAAAGGACAAAUAUGAGUUACUUGGUCCAAUUCCCUGCUCAAAGUAGGUUGCUUGGAGACUAUGCCAGUCUAGUUUUACUAUCAACAGAUGGGGAGACUGUUUAAUUUCAAUAUUUGACUACUCUCAUGGUUAAAAAUAUAUGUACACAUCAAAAACUCCCUGUAUAUAAAUUAAAUAUUGCAUGCGUUAUCUCUUGCCGUCUGACUGCCACCAAGAAGAGCCU
RNAcentral lists this long non-coding RNA (1477 nucleotides) under Chrysolophus pictus (golden pheasant). RNAcentral's name for it is "lncRNA (ENSCPIG00010006333.1)". The record is from RNAcentral. Lineage: Eukaryota; Metazoa; Chordata; Aves; Galliformes; Phasianidae.